UGGUGGUGGAGACACUGGUGGUUCUGCUAAGGCUAGUUCUGGAGGUAAAGUUGAAGGAGGUGGUGGAGACACUGGUGGUUCUACUAAGGGUGGUAUUGAAGGUAUAUUUGAAGGA
Hibiscus syriacus is the source of this 115-nucleotide long non-coding RNA. RefSeq lists it as uncharacterized. The transcript has 3 exons. Lineage: Eukaryota; Viridiplantae; Streptophyta; Magnoliopsida; Malvales; Malvaceae. The record is from RefSeq and is a predicted model, not a curated record.